Delphinapterus leucas (beluga whale) is the source of this 1990-nucleotide non-coding RNA. The record is from RefSeq and is a predicted model, not a curated record. Lineage: Eukaryota; Metazoa; Chordata; Mammalia; Artiodactyla; Monodontidae.
GUCAGGACCCCAAAAAGUAUUAAGACUUUUAAGGUGCCUGCACCAAACACACUGCUAGUUAAAGUGACAUGAAGGCGCGAAUGCUGUUGUCAGACCAACUCCAGGCUACUUCAGGGCCUUGGAGCAAUGUGCAUCAUUCCAUGAACUUCUUGACAACAAGGUUCUUGCCCCCAGUCUCACCUGCCUCCUUGGUCUCAGUGCAGGCACCAGUGCCAACCUCUCGGCUGCCAGACAGCUCUCUGCUGGGUGGAGGCACCCGGUCCAUCAGGCGAGCAGGUUACUCUGUCUAGCUCCCUUCCGCUCCAUCCCACCCUCUCCAGCUAAAAAGCAUUCCAGCCCUUUCUAAAGCCUUUUCCCUCCUGGAUAAGCCCAGAGGAUGCCUGGGAUGGAGCCAAAGAGGCCAUAGAAUUAACAUCGUCAGGACAACCCUGUACGUCGGCACUGUGCACAGGUGCCAUCCCAGGAGACUGAUGGAUCCCCUGCUCCCCUGGGGCCCCUGCUCCCUAGUGAGAGGAAAUGCUGUCAUGUAGUCGAGAGCAUGUGAGUAACCUCACCCAAAGUGUCCGAAGAGCGACUUGCUGUCUGUUGGCUGGAAACGCUUGGUGCCAGAACACAUUUCCCAGAACCCUGCUCUGGCUCGCCACCCGGCAGGGCUUCCCCGCACCCACGCGGCCGGCACAGUGACGGCCGCCCCUUCACCUCCGGCAGGGGAGCCAGGCGGGCAGGAGAUUUGUGACAUCGGGACAGCGUGGUGCAGGGUCACCGGCUGCUGUCCCACCCCCAGCGUCUCCCCGACGCGGCAUGCCAAAUGAAGGUACUUAUGGACCCCCGUGCUCAGCUACUUGGUCUUUUUAUUGUCUGCUCUGCAGUUGAAUACGUAUGUGUAUGAGUUCACUCUGCACAAAUAUAUAUAUUUGAAUCUGUCUAUCUAUCACUUGAAUCAGAGCAUCACGUGCAUCCCUCCUCCCUCGCGUACACGCACACUGUGUCACCCGAGCCAUGAAGCGGGUCACCUUGAACGGUCUGGAGCGAUGCAGUGCGGUGCUGCCCUCGGUGGGUGUGGAUGUGACCACCUCGUCUUUGUCUUGCAGUGGGUGCUGCAGCCCCGGCCUGUGUCGGUCUCUUAGCAGGAGUCUUAGAACCAGACCCCCGGUCCUCUGCUGUCCUUUCUGUCGGCCGCGCUGCUCACGGAGAUGGCCGCUCUCCCUCCCUGCCUCCUUCCUGACACUGUAAUUAUUGUUUUACAAUCGAGUGCCUUAAUAAUAGUUUACAAAUACUAUGUAUUUAUGGGCAACCGUUAAGCUCUCGCCUUCUGUGAUUGGAUACUUUGCCUCGUCAGUGGUGGUUAGCGUUUUAGGGCUGGAGCUUGCCUGCCCCGUACUUGUGCUGAUCUGUUGUGCGGCGUCUCGCACCUGCCCGCAGCCAGGCCAGGAGCGUUGCUAGAAACGGCGCUGGCGGUUUCUGUUGGCAAGGCGGGCACGGUUUCAGCCACGGCCCGGUCCGUAGGAAGCGAGGAAAGAACGGCACUGGUUUGCUGGCCAGCCGGGGGGGUGGCGCGGUCCAGGCUUCCCCUGGACCGCAGCCCAGCCCCUCCCCUGUUCCCCCCGUCACACAACUGUACCCCUGUUCAGUAGAGUCUUUAUUGCCACCGAGGCCCCUGUUUUCCUCUCUGCUGGUGUCCUGAGCUCUCUGCAACAAAACGCAGGCACAGGCCGCCAUCAGGAGCUCCGCAAGAUGGGCUGCCCUUUGGUUUUCAGAAGCCGCCCGCGGGUUCCAGUGUGUUGUGUUAUGAUAUCAAUGAUUUUUUUUAUUAUAUUGUUUUUCUUCUUGUUUUUUUAUAUUAUAUAUUUAAAAGGCAGUAUCUUUUGUACUGUGAAUUUGCAGUAGAAGAUGCAUAAUGCACUUUUUUUUUUUUUUUUACUUCUGUUGGUGUGUACUGUAGUCUUUGUGCUUCUUGUGAUGAAAAUAAACUUUUUCUUUAUAAAUGCCU